GGAAAUUUAAUAAGAUAUAGUGUAAAGAUUAUACAUUUUAAAAUAAGAAAGACCUAUAUUUGAAUGCUACACUCUGUUACUUGCUAGUUCUGUGAUAGCAGAAACUUUAGUUUCCUCAUCUGUAAAAUGGAAGUAAUAGACUUAUUUCGUAGGAUUCGGUCAAAAGAGAAUUAAAUAAUGAGUGUGAACCUCAUAAUAGAGCCAAAUAUAUAGUAGCAAUUAUCAUUUACAAAAUGCUUGUGCCUCUUAGACUGUGGCAGCUACUAAAUUUGAAUGUUUGAACAAAUUCAUUAACAUCACAAAGCUGCUACAUGUUAAAAUUAGUAAUAGCCCAGGUCAAAGAAGCCCAAUCACUAAAGGGGCUAAGAACGAUAAUGUUAGAAGUCCAGCUUUACUCACAGUAUUUUCUGUGAAGGUAUUCUUUUUUUUGUUUGUUUUUUUCAAGAUUUUAUUUUUUUUCCUUUUUCUCCCCAAAGCCCCCCCGGUACAUAGUUGAAUAUUCUUCGUUGUGGGUCCUUCUAGUUGUGGCAUGUGGGAUGCCGCCUCAGCGUGGUCUGAUGAGCAGUGCCAUGUCCGCGCCCAGGAUCCGAACCAACGAAACACUGGGCUGCCUGCAGCAGAGCGUGCGAACUUAACCACUGGGCCAUGGGGCCAGCCCCUCUGUGAAGGCAAUGUCACCAAAUUCUUAACAUCAAAUUAUGACGACUAUCCAUCAAGAACGAGGACCUGGAGCUUAAAAAUUGUGCUGACUACAUUUCAACUGGGCCAGAUAGAAGCCAAGGAUAGAUGGCAGUAGAUACUGCAACAGCUUCCAGACAAGUUGUAGUAGAAUAAUCAUUGGCGUGCUUUGCACAAGAAAUGCUAUCAAGACUCUCUAACAGACACUCUGAAUCAGUGCAGGGAAGCAAGAGCAGCAGCUAAGCCAACCUCAUGUAUUAUGGUCAGAGGAAAGUGAGUCAAAGUGACUUAUGAGGAGUGGAGCCGAAAGUACAUAUAGAGCUGGAUGAUACAUAUAACUGCCUGCCAAAAUAGAUCUCACAUCAAUGCCCAUGGCCAAAGCUUGUUUCCUUCCUUCUUCCCUCCUUCUCUCCUUCCUUCCUUCUCUCUCUCCCUUUCUUCCCUCUUAUCUCCCAAGGCAUUUGGUACAACUUUAUGUGGACGGUGGUUUCUUGAUAAGUACUUAUUGAAUGAAAUGCCUUGCAGGCAGGUAAAAACUAACACCCAACUCUACUGGCUACUUCAAGCGGUUAAUGGAAAAUGGAAGUAGGUCAAGGUAAGGAGGAAAAAACCCUGCUUUUACUGGAGCAAGGGCUUAGCAGAUUUAAUUAAUGCCCUUUAGACUCUAUGACGCUCUAACUGCUUUUGACUGGUUCAUGUAAAUGGUGCUGUACAGCAAGUUUCUUUCAGCCCCUUCAGAGAAAAAUGAAUUUUGAACUUUUUUUCUCUUGAAGUGGAAGUAAAAGAAACUAGAAAAUAAAGAGUUCAGAGCUGUCAGACUUCCAAAAUAAAUAAAGUUUCCUCCAAAUUCUUCUAAUGUUAACAAGGUUUGCAUUUGCAAGCUUUCUAUUUUCUUAUUGCAUAAAUUAAUUCAGGAAACAAAAAAUUUAUAAAGAUGUGAAUAUUCUUUUCAAGUCUGAAAGAAGUUUAAAACUAUGUAAUGGAGAGUAAACAAGCUUUUCAAAAUAUAGAAAAUUUCACUAGGAAGGAAAUAUUCACUGAUGUUGGUUUUAUUACAUAUUUCCUAUCAUGAUCUGGGAGAAAAUUUAUGAUAAAAUCAAACGAG
This is a long non-coding RNA of Equus caballus (horse), 1783 nucleotides long. NCBI's taxonomy places the organism in Eukaryota, Metazoa, Chordata, Mammalia, Perissodactyla, Equidae. The record is from Ensembl.